UAUAACGGGGCUAAAGUAAGUACCGAAGCUGUAGACUUAGUUUACUAAGUGGUAGGAGAGCGUUCUAUUUGCGUCGAAGGUAUACCGGUAAGGAGUGCUGGAGCGAAUAGAAGUGAGCAUGCAGGCAUGAGUAGCGAUAAUUAAUGUGAGAAUCAUUAACGCCGUAAACCCAAGGUUUCCUACGCGAUGCUCGUCAUCGUAGGGUUAGUCGGGUCCUAAGUCGAGUCCGAAAGGGGUAGACGAUGGCAAAUUGGUUAAUAUUCCAAUACCAACAUUAGUGUGCGAUGGAAGGACGCUUAGGGCUAAGGGGGCUAGCGGAUGGAAGUGCUAGUCUAAGGUCGUAGGAGGUUAUACAGGCAAAUCCGUAUAACAAUACUCCGAGAACUGAAAGGCUUUUUGAAGUCUUCGGAUGGAUAGAAGAACCCCUGAUGCCGUCGAGCCAAGAAAAGUUUCUAAGUUUAGCUAAUGUUGCCCGUACCGUAAACCGACACAGGUGGGUGGGAUGAGUAUUCUAAGGCGCGUGGAAGAACUCUCUUUAAGGAACUCUGCAAAAUAGCACCGUAUCUUCGGUAUAAGGUGUGGUUAGCUUUGUAUUAGGAUUUACUCCGAAAGCAAGGAAACUUACAACAAAGAGUCCCUCCCGACUGUUUACCAAAAACACAGCACUCUGCUAACUCGUAAGAGGAUGUAUAGGGUGUGACGCCUGCCCGGUGCUCGAAGGUUAAUUGAUGGGGUUAGCAUUAGCGAAGCUCUUGAUCGAAGCCCGAGUAAACGGCGGCCGUAACUAUAACGGUCCUAAGGUAGCGAAAUUCCUUGUCGGUUAAAUACCGACCUGCAUGAAUGGCGUAACGAGAUGGGAGCUGUCUCAAAGAGGGAUCCAGUGAAAUUGUAGUGGAGGUGAAAAUUCCUCCUACCCGCGGCAAGACGGAAAGACCCCGUGGACCUUUACUACAGCUUGACACUGCUACUUGGAUAAGAAUGUGCAGGAUAGGUGGGAGGCUUUGAGUAUAUGACGCCAGUUGUAUAUGAGCCAUUGUUGAGAUACCACUCUUUCUUAUUUGGGUAGCUAACCAGCUUGAGUUAUCCUCAAGUGGGACAAUGUCUGGUGGGUAGUUUGACUGGGGCGGUCGCCUCCCAAAUAAUAACGGAGGCUUACAAAGGUUGGCUCAGAACGGUUGGAAAUCGUUCGUAGAGUAUAAAGGUAUAAGCCAGCUUAACUGCAAGACAUACAAGUCAAGCAGAGACGAAAGUCGGUCUUAGUGAUCCGGUGGUUCUGUGUGGAAGGGCCAUCGCUCAAAGGAUAAAAGGUACCCCGGGGAUAACAGGCUGAUCUCCCCCAAGAGCUCACAUCGACGGGGAGGUUUGGCACCUCGAUGUCGGCUCAUCGCAUCCUGGGGCUGGAGCAGGUCCCAAGGGUAUGGCUGUUCGCCAUUUAAAGCGGUACGCGAGCUGGGUUCAGAACGUCGUGAGACAGUUCGGUCCCUAUCUGCCGUGGGCGUAAGAAGAUUGAAGAGAUUUGACCCUAGUACGAGAGGACCGGGUUGAACAAACCACUGGUGUAGCUGUUGUUCUGCCAAGAGCAUCGCAGCGUAGCUAAGUUUGGAAAGGAUAAACGCUGAAAGCAUCUAAGCGUGAAGCCAACUCUAAGAUGAAUCUUCUCUAAGCUCUCUAGAAGACUACUAGUUUGAUAGGCUGGGUGUGUAAUGGAUGAAAGUCCUUUAGCUGACCAGUACUAAUAGAGCGUUUGGCUUAUCUUUAAUAAAGCAU
RNAcentral lists this ribosomal RNA (1767 nucleotides) under Campylobacter jejuni. RNAcentral describes it as "partial 23S ribosomal RNA". It matches the Rfam family "Bacterial large subunit ribosomal RNA", at positions 1171 to 2925 of the family's 2925-position model. The record is from RNAcentral. Lineage: Bacteria; Pseudomonadati; Campylobacterota; Epsilonproteobacteria; Campylobacterales; Campylobacteraceae.